Molecule: long non-coding RNA, 763 nt
Filed under: Sorghum bicolor (sorghum)
Lineage: Eukaryota; Viridiplantae; Streptophyta; Magnoliopsida; Poales; Poaceae
Description: long non-coding RNA (SBIC_LNC014863)
Source: RNAcentral
GGCUGGCUGCGCUGGCUGCCGCCGCUGGGCCGCGGGGAAAGAAGUGGGCCGGGCGCGGGGGAGGGGAAGGCUCGGCUGCGGCCUGGCUUCCAAGGAGGUUUCCUCUUUUUUUAUUUUCUUUUCUAUUUUCUAAAGCCUUUUCCAAAACAUUAUGAAUGCAAAAUAAGUUCUCACCAGAACAACAAGCAUAGAAUAAAAUGUUUUCCAGCAUGAAUGCACAAUCAAGUUGACUAAACUUAUGAUGAGUUUUAAUAUUCACAAAAUUAUUUGUUUGCUAGAUUCAAAUGCCCACAACAAUACUUAAAUAAAUCAAAUUAAUUCCUAUUAAUUGAAAUCAAAAUUUUGGGUGUUACAUUGUAGCUUAUACACUUGUUUUUAAUAAAUGUCAAUAGGUGGCAGCAAGCCAUAUUUUCUGGGCUUUUAUAAUGUGUUGUAUAAUAAUUUAUCCCCAAGUUGGCAGCUUAUGCAAUGCUUGUUUUAAUAAUUUUCCCAUUUAAAUUGCAACUUAUAUCUUAUUUUUGGCCAUUAUUUUUUUAGAGAUUAGUAUCUUUAUGUAAAUACCACAUAACAAUGUUAUAUUCCCAUAGUAACAAUUGAUGUGCGUAUUAUGUAAGAACUUCAAUAUAUUUUUCAGUAACAGUUUUAGUACUUCAUGGUAAUAACUUUUUUGAUAAAUCUUUUAGCACAUAUUUACAUAUAAGGUCAGUCUCAAUCGAAGUUUCAAGUGAGUUUUAUUUGCAUUAAAUAAUUUAUCACAGAGGCA